This is a long non-coding RNA of Toxorhynchites rutilus septentrionalis, 1789 nucleotides long. RefSeq lists it as uncharacterized. The transcript has 3 exons. NCBI's taxonomy places the organism in Eukaryota, Metazoa, Arthropoda, Insecta, Diptera, Culicidae. The record is from RefSeq and is a predicted model, not a curated record.
ACGUAAACAAACGCAGUGAGAAAAACUAUAAUUUUUGUUCAAAGUUAUCUUGAGAUUCUAUAACUUUCUGCAAAAAUAUCAUAUACCAUAUGCAUAAUCUUUUUUCACCAUUCGUGCAAAUCGUACUUGUAUUGUUCGUCCAUAAUUAAUAUUCAAAAACUAGUAUGAUUUGCGAAUUGGAAUUUCAUCUCUCGUUUCGAAUCAAAAUUAUGAAUGAAAAUCGAUGUUUCGAGGUUUCUUCCUGAAUCUGUGGCAUCCAAUGCGAUAAACUCUUCGAUGAUGACGGUAAAUUUGCAGCUUGCCGAUAUUUUUCAAUACGUCGGAGGAGGAAGCAGGUUGAUAGUCGAAGGUGAACGGGUGUUUCAAGCUAACCACUUGCUUCUUGUCGGAGUUCAAACCGUGCACGAGGACGGCUUUACCAUAUUUGCGAUUUGUUUGAAGUCAUCAUCAUCUAGAGCUGAUCCACACAAAAUUUCCAUCCGCACCAGACCUUCCUUUGAAAAGUGGUCUUUUCAGUGUUCGUGCAAAGCUGGAAUGGGAAAAUGCAAACACAUAAUGGCCGUUUUAAAACAUCUUCUAAUGUUCCCUUCAGUUCCAUUGCUUACAGUAACAGAUUUGCAACAAAAGUGGGGUAAAAUUGCAGAAAAAGUUGCUGACGAUAUGUACAAGACAACACCAUUGACCGCAUUCUGCAAAAAAAUGACGAAUACAAAAGAUACGACUGAAGCUGCCUCGCCGCGGGUUUGACUCACGAUGAGGGUACCAACAUUCUUCAGCUUUUCGUGAAACGUUUGCUUCCAAUUUAUUGAUCGAUUUUUUAAAAUAAAAUUUUAAUUAUUAAUUAUUAGGAUUCCCUGAAAGCGGUCUGGCAUACGAAAAGAAAGGACGAGAAAUGAAAAAUAUUGACAAAAAUGAUGAAUCUGAUGUUCUGAAUAUACUUCUCGAUAUAGAUGUGCAAAGUCAUUCUACAGAAUCCAUUGAUUCGUUAAUUUCUAUUGAAGAAAAUAUGACUUGCAGUCUACUUAAAUCCUUCCUGAGAAGAUCGUUUCAUCCUGAUAACUUCACGAUGAUCGAUCGUGAAAUAAUGGAAUUUAUAGGUCCGUUAGAAAAGGAUCUGCAACUUCAUUUCGAAAUCAAUGUGAAAGUAUCGGAAUACGAGUCUUUGAAAAUAUGUACAAGAACUAUAGAACAAAGAGUAUCAUCGCAAUGGAAAAAAGAACGAAGCCGGUGCAUACUCUGUGUAUACAUACUACACAAAUCAACCCGACAAGAACAAAAAUUGGAAAAGUAAAAUCCUGAGUAUGGUGACACCGAAACAUCUUUCAACACCAGCAAUCGUACAUGGGAUCCGAUGCGAAUCAAAAGCCAUAGCAGCAUAUGAGCGAGACUACAGAAAAAACGUUUGGAGUUGUGGUUUCGUAAUACCCCCACAUAUUUCAUGGCUGGGAUGUUCUCCUGACGGAAUUGUUAUAAACGAAGGGAGAAUAAUAGAAAUUAAGUGUCCAAAAGAAGGGGAAAAUAAAUCAUUGAGUGAUUUAAUUGAUGUUCUCCCCUAUUUUACAAGAUUAAAUGUUUUGAAAAAAAAUCAUCAAUAUUACGCACAGUUGCAACUAACUAUGUUCAUAACAAAAUGUAGAGUAGCAGAUUUUAUAAUCUAUUCAGAAUAUGAUGAUAAAUGCUAUGUUCAGGAAGUUCAAUUCGAUCCAGAUUAUGUUAGAACGAUGGUAGCAGUGCUGAAGGAGGUUUAUUUUAAUGUUUUUUUGAAAUAUCUAUAUUCGUCUGUUUAAUA